CGCCGCCCGGGGCAGCCUGGGGACGCUGGGCUCAGGCCUCUCGACUCGCCUCAGCCGGCGGGGGAGCCUUCCCCUUCGCCCCCAAAGUUUCUGGCUCUUACGAGAGAGGCUCCCGCUGGACAAAGUUUUCCAAAGUUUUCCGAGUGUGAUGGUUGCGGGAAGAGCUAAUCCACCAGCUUGAUUCACGGCUUCAUCUCACCACCCUCGAGCAGUCCCCAAGCCCGCUAUAAGGGAACAAACAAACAAACAAACAAACAAAGUUACACUCCGAGUCUC
Long non-coding RNA from Suricata suricatta (meerkat), 276 nucleotides. RefSeq lists it as uncharacterized. The record is from RefSeq and is a predicted model, not a curated record. The transcript is spliced from 2 exons. NCBI's taxonomy places the organism in Eukaryota, Metazoa, Chordata, Mammalia, Carnivora, Herpestidae.